GACGAACGCUGGCGGCGUGCUUAACACAUGCAAGUCGAACGGUGAUGCUCCAGCUUGCUGGAGUGGAUCAGUGGCGAACGGGUGAGUAACACGUGAGCAACCUGCCCCAGACUCUGGAAUAAGCGCUGGAAACGGCGUCUAAUACUGGAUACGAAACUGGCCCGCAUGGGCAUGGUUUGGAAAGUUUUUCGGUUUGGGAUGGGCUCGCGGCCUAUCAGCUUGUUGGUGAGGUAAUGGCCCACCAAGGCGACGACGGGUAGCCGGCCUGGGAGGGCGAACGGCCACACUGGGACUGAGACACGGCCCAGACUCCUACGGGAGGCAGCAGUGGGGAAUAUUGCACAAUGGGCGAAAGCCUGAUGCAGCGACGCCGCGUGAGGGAUGACGGCCUUCGGGUUGUAAACCUCUUUCAGCAGGGAAGAAGCGAAAGUGACGGUACCUGCAGAAGAAGCACCGGCUAACUACGUG
RNAcentral lists this ribosomal RNA (468 nucleotides) under uncultured bacterium. RNAcentral's name for it is "partial 16S ribosomal RNA". It matches the Rfam family "Bacterial small subunit ribosomal RNA", at positions 28 to 507 of the family's 1533-position model. The record is from RNAcentral.